CCUACGGGUGGCAGCAGUGAGGAAUAUUGCACAAUGGCGGAAACCCUGAUGCAGCGACGCCGCGUGAGUGAAGAAGUACUUCCGUAUGUAAAGCUCUAUCAGCCGGGAAGAAAAUGACGGUACCUGAGUAAGAAGCCGCGGCUAACUACGUGCCAGCAGCCGCGGGAAUACGGAGGGGGCCGGCGUUAUCCGGAUUUACUGGGGGUAAAGGGAGCGUAUACGGCAGUGCAAGUCUGGAGUGAAAGGCGGGGGCUCAAACCCCGGACUGCUCUGGAAACUGUACGGCUUGAGUGCAGGAGAGGUAAGUGGAAUUCCUAGUGUAGCGGUGAAAUGCGUAGAUAUUAGGAGGAACACCAGUGGCGAAGGCGGCUUACUGGACUGUAACUGACGUUGAGGCUCGAAAGCGUGGGGAGCAAACAGGAUUAGAUACCCUUGUAGUC
RNAcentral lists this ribosomal RNA (440 nucleotides) under uncultured bacterium. RNAcentral describes it as "partial 16S ribosomal RNA". It matches the Rfam family "Bacterial small subunit ribosomal RNA", at positions 338 to 795 of the family's 1533-position model. The record is from RNAcentral.